This 744-nucleotide ribosomal RNA is filed under the name uncultured bacterium. RNAcentral describes it as "bacterial SSU rRNA". It matches the Rfam family "Bacterial small subunit ribosomal RNA", at positions 8 to 796 of the family's 1533-position model. The record is from RNAcentral.
AGAGUUUGAUCCUGGCUCAGAGCGAACGCUGGCGGCAGGCCUAACACAUGCAAGUCGAACGGGCACCUUCGGGUGUCAGUGGCAGACGGGUGAGUAACGCGUGGGAACGUGCCCAUCGGUUCGGGAUAACCCAGGGAAACUUGGGCUAAUACCGGAUACGCCCUUUUGGGGAAAGAUUUAUUGCCGAUGGAUCGGCCCGCGUCUGAUUAGCUAGUUGGUGAGGUAACGGCUCACCAAGGCGACGAUCAGUAGCUGGUCUGAGAGGAUGAUCAGCCACACUGGGACUGAGACACGGCCCAGACUCCUACGGGAGGCAGCAGUGGGGAAUAUUGGACAAUGGGCGCAAGCCUGAUCCAGCCAUGCCGCGUGAGUGAUGGAGGCCUUAGGGUUGUAAAGCUCUUUCACCCACGACGAUAAUGACGGUAGUGGGAGAAGAAGCCCCGGCUAACUUCGUGCCAGCAGCCGCGGUAAUACGAAGGGGGCUAGCGUUGCUCGGAAUCACUGGGCGUAAAGGGCGCGUAGGCGGCCGAUCAAGUCAGGGGUGAAAGCCUGUGGCUCAACCACAGAAUUGCCUUUGAUACUGUUUGGCUCGAGACCGGAAGAGGUUGGUGGAACUGCGAGUGUAGAGGUGAAAUUCGUAGAUAUUCGCAAGAACACCAGUGGCGAAGGCGGCCAACUGGUCCGGUUCUGACGCUGAGGCGCGAAAGCGUGGGGAGCAAACAGGAUUAGAUACCCUAGUAGUCC